GACGAACGCUGGCGGCGUGCCUAAUACAUGCAAGUUGAGCGCUGAAGGUUGGUACUUGUACCAACUGGAUGAGCAGCGAACGGGUGAGUAACGCGUGGGGAAUCUGCCUUUGAGCGGGGGACAACGUUUGGAAACGAAUGCUAAUACCGCAUAAAAACUUUAAACACAAGUUUUAAGUUUGAAAGAUGCAAUUGCAUCACUCAAAGAUGAUCCCGCGUUGUAUUAGCUAGUUGGUGAGGUAAAGGCUCACCAAGGCGAUGAUACAUAGCCGACCUGAGAGGGUGAUCGGCCACAUUGGGACUGAGACACGGCCCAAACUCCUACGGGAGGCAGCAGUAGGGAAUCUUCGGCAAUGGACGAAAGUCUGACCGAGCAACGCCGCGUGAGUGAAGAAGGUUUUCGGAUCGUAAAACUCUGUUGGUAGAGAAGAACGUUGGUGAGAGUGGAAAGCUCAUCAAGUGACGGUAACUACCCAGAAAGGGACGGCUAACUACGUG
This 497-nucleotide ribosomal RNA is filed under the name uncultured bacterium. Its description in RNAcentral is "partial 16S ribosomal RNA". It matches the Rfam family "Bacterial small subunit ribosomal RNA", at positions 28 to 507 of the family's 1533-position model. The record is from RNAcentral.